CUGUCCUACAACAAUGGGGCUGGCACAGGUGUUCAGUGGAACCAAGGAAGCUUCUAGACACAUCCUGAGCAUGUGGCUUUGGAGUGUCACAUAUCCUAUUCACGCUAACAAUAAGAUUAGUAGCCAUAAUACAAUAAAUCCCUGUUAUUGACUUUUCAAAUAAAGAAGAACGCUGCCUAAGAGGAAAAUCAAACAGAAUUACAGAGGACUGCUGUUUUCCCCCACUUCCUUUCAAGGCAUCUAUAAAGAUAAAGAGCAGCGAUGAUCAGUUUAAAACAGAGCGCUCUGCCACGUCACUGGUUUGCAUAGUAGCCCCACCUGGAGAAUACACAUUUUCUGUAAAGAAAGAUGGAUAUACAGAGACAAGGAAAAACAAGGCCUCCAUCCCUUCCAAGCACAUGGUUGAUUAAGACAAAGAAGUCCAUAAACAGAAAGAGAAGACAGAGACCUGGAAGAAGACCUGAGGAAUUAACAGGCAAGGAUUAAGACUGGAAGGCCACAAGAGGCCCAGGAGGAAGAACACAUAUGGGAAUGUAUAAUGGGGAGCACAGAAUGAGGACAAAGAAUAUGGGAUAUAAAGGGUCAAGUCUCUCCCCAAAACUCACAAAACAAAUGAAGGAAACUGCAAACUUACGACUCAGAAAUACAGGGUAAUAAGCAAUCACUAACAUAAAUAUAAGCAUUUUAUCCCGUAAAUACUUUAUUUCUUGUCCUACUCCCAGAAUAAAUUCAUGACUAAAUAAAAUUAUACAGCAAAA
This is a long non-coding RNA of Mastomys coucha (southern multimammate mouse), 758 nucleotides long. RefSeq lists it as uncharacterized. NCBI's taxonomy places the organism in Eukaryota, Metazoa, Chordata, Mammalia, Rodentia, Muridae. The transcript is spliced from 4 exons. The record is from RefSeq and is a predicted model, not a curated record.